Molecule: non-coding RNA, 120 nt
Organism: Triticum aestivum (bread wheat)
Lineage: Eukaryota; Viridiplantae; Streptophyta; Magnoliopsida; Poales; Poaceae
Source: Rfam
GUAGUAUUCCCUCCGUCCCAAAAUUCUUGUCUUACAUUUGUUUAGAUACGGAUGUAUCUAAAACUAAAUCCCUAUUUAGACAAAUUUAAGACAAGAAUUUUGGGACAGAGGGAGUACAAA